Felis catus (domestic cat) is the source of this 756-nucleotide long non-coding RNA. RefSeq lists it as uncharacterized. The record is from RefSeq and is a predicted model, not a curated record. Lineage: Eukaryota; Metazoa; Chordata; Mammalia; Carnivora; Felidae. The transcript has 4 exons.
GGAAAUUUCAGGAAGAGUAGGCCUGCAGAGAUCAGGAAAGGGCAAUGCAAACAGCAAGCUCUGAAGGCUUCUGCGUAGAGCCGGAUGACCUUCACCCCCAGCCCUGAGCCUCUUCCCCACCAGAGUGAAAGGGAAAGUGGACCUGAUGAUGAACGCCUAGUACAAGCUGCUCAAGCUUCUCUCCAUGAAGGCCCGAAUAACGAUGUGGACACGGUGUUAUAAAAUGAUUCCCACAGCAGGAUGGGAAUUAACAUUUGUUUGUUUGUUUCAGACCAACUAUUUAUUGUCAGCGUACAGAGACUUCUGAAGGAGUCGAGCUGAGGAACAGCUGAGAGAAACUCUCUGAUGACGGGCAUGAAAGCAGUGUGUGCCAGGAAACAAUAAAGCAGGGGGUUGGAGACAAAACUCAGCAGCUCAGGAAGCACACACACCACAGGCAUAAUUUCUCAUCAGUGUCAGAAAGUGCUUCUCCUGCUCUAAGAGGUGGUCACCAGCAGCCAACACAGUUUAAGAAGAGAGAGCAUCUGUCUUCAUCAACCCACUCAAGCCUCCUGGAGCUCCCGGUAGUGAACAGGAGAAGACUCAAUACGGUUCUUGCACAAUGAGGCUGGCUGCCCUCUUGUUAUCAAGAGUCACUCAUGGAGCAUCUAGAUUGGCACCUCUUCCAAUUCAAAGCACAUUCUGGGACCUGCAGUGGCUGUUAAUCAGCAAGUGUUUACUGAGCUUGCUUUAAUGUGCUUUGCUCCCUCUCUCUCU